Long non-coding RNA from Eucalyptus grandis, 2382 nucleotides. RefSeq lists it as uncharacterized. NCBI's taxonomy places the organism in Eukaryota, Viridiplantae, Streptophyta, Magnoliopsida, Myrtales, Myrtaceae. The transcript has 7 exons. The record is from RefSeq and is a predicted model, not a curated record.
UAAGUGGUUAGCAUUUCCAAGUUAGCAGGGUAUUCUGCAGGAAAGUGCAUAUAUGUUGGGAUUAUGCAGUCAUUCCAGAUUCUUACUUUAUUUGAUUUGCUGCAACGAAUUAUUUAUGAUGAAAAAUUAUCAUGUUUAAUAUGAUGCUUACUUUCAUUUAUAUGUCAGUCUUAGAUGUGGAAAUUGAUUAUGUGAGUGUUGAAUCGAGUCUUACCCAAAGAUAUCCGAGUAACUGGCUGGUGUCGUGUUCCAAUUGAUUUUAGUGCAAGGUUGUUUUCCUUCUCAUGGUGUACUUUAUUUUGAUUCGAUAUGUUGGGAUUCUGUUGAUGAAAUGCGUUAGAGAUGCCUCCAAUUUGUUGAUUUUAUAAUGUUAAUGAUUGCGGAAACAUAGGUGGGGUUUGCCUUUUCACAUGAUUCUGUCUUCCUCAAUAUCUUGCAGGUUUAGCUGUAUGAGCAGGUAGUACAAAUAUUUCUUUUGGAGAGAUAAUUUGGAUAUUAGGGCAAUGGAGAGUGCAGGCCAAAAGUUUGUGGGGGAUCAUGAUUUCAGAAAUUUUUGUAAGAUGGAUGCAUUUAAUGUCCACAACUACAAGCGUCAUAUAACAUCCUUUGAACUCUCUUCUUGUGAUAAGAGGUUGGAAAGUAAUGAACUGUGGUGUUUCAAAAUUAAGGGCAGUGCAUUUUGUGGCACCAAGUUCGUUGCAUGGUUGCUGUGAUGUUUAUGGUUGGCCAAGGUCUUGAAUCUCCUGAUGUACGUAAUAUAAGACACUUCGCCAUUCUCUGUCUUGAUUACCAUAAGUUGAACGUAGGAAAUGGGUGAGAGACAGUUUGUUUGAUAUCUAUUAGUUAAUGCAACAAAAUGCACGGGGCUACCAAUAUUGGACAAGACAUUAUGGAGAAAAGGCUUUAUAUGAGAUGACACUGCAAUCUGCAUAACCAUAUGGUGACACAAACUAAUCCUUUUUUAGUGAGUCAGUUGUUUGGCAUGUGGAAAAUAAAGAUGUAAUGUUCAAAUGCUUUGCUAACACUAGUUGGCAUGAGCAAGAAACAUGCUAUUAAAAAUUGAAGGCUCUGGAAAAAGGAAUGCAAAAUGCGUCAGAGAAAAAUUCUCAAUGUUCUGAUGGAUUCAAUAGUCUAGAUGGUCAAGCUGCUCUCGGAAUUGGUGCUAGUAAAGAGAGAGCUAAGAAGAGAAAGCUUGUGCAGAAAAAUGACAUUCGGAAGAAACGCAUGACUGACAAUGGAAAGCAAAUUAUUGCUACUUCUAAGAGUAGGAAUGAUGAUGGCAAGCAAAUUAUUGCUGCUUUUAAGAGCAGGAAUGAUGAUGGCAAGCAAAUUAUUGCUGCUUUUAAGAGACAUGGAUCGAACAAGAAAGCUGCAAUACCUGAAAUAGGUAAUUCACAAUUAAGAAAGAGAACAAUUGUAAACAGGGGUUCACGGUCUGCCAUGGAAGAAAAUGGAGCAAAAGAAGGUUCAAAUGGUCCAAAUAAACAAAAGAAGCUUUCUGGAGAGUUGAAAUGUCCACCAGUAAAGCCAAAAAAAAAAGAGACUGUCAUGUGAAUGAUACACCAAUGUGCAUAAGCGGCACCGCCAGAGUGAAUUUCAGCAGGUUGAUCAGGUUUUGGGCUGUCGUGUUAGAGAGAAGCAGGACAGACAUCGACAUAGUACUUCUGGCGAAAUGAACUUAGAUGCAGGAGAUAGGGCUGGACUUGCUGAUGACAGACAAGCUGAUAUAAGCAUUGACAGUGAUAUCAAACUGCACAAUCUGAAUGUUUUUCAGUGGUUAUCCUCUCAUCGGUUGGAAUUUUAAUGGUAAUGCUGGAGGAAGAGUCGAAAACUGUAAAACUUGGUUGACAACAUUUCAUCUUUUUUCUAUUGAGGUUGAAAGACGUGAUUUGAGCAGGAGGAGCCCCAUAGGUGCUCUCUGAUGAGAAGUCUCUCCAAGGUUUUAAUUUCUCCAAUCCUAUUCAAUUUGAACAACUAAAGACAUAUUGGUGCAUAUGUAAAUGGCAUUUGAAACAGCGCAUGCAUAUAAAUAACCGAAUGUGCAGAUAUAUCACUUGCUACUAGAGUCACUGAGGGGAUGAUUAGGAACUCUUCCAAGGAUCUGGAUCCUCACAUUUCGAAGAUAAAUACCAAGUUGGUAUGGCAAGGAAGAGGAUCUAAAGAAUUUCUGCAGCUUUUGAGUGUGUAAAUAUACAAACAAAAUCGACAUUAGUUAACUUUCAGUUAGUUUUGGAAAUCAGAACAAUCUUGAAUUUUUAAUUCUUGUUAUAAAGAAUAUGGUGGUUCUUAAUUCUCACUCUUUGUAUUGUUGGAAGAUAUCUUGAAAACUUUGUUAUUCAAACAUCGAAAUGCUGUGUUCAAGUUCUUUUUGGCCCUCAACUA